GUCAUUUCAUUUUUUCUAAGUUUUAGUCUUGAAGUUUAAAAACAUCCAACGAUAAAUGAAAUUUACCCCAAAUUACUACAACUGCCAUCCUUAUUAUAUUACUUGUCUGAAACAGAAAUAAUUGAAUCGAAAAGAUUAAUGCACAUAGAACAAACUGACAAUCAAAACCAAUCUCGCUUGUGGACAAAAAUCUCUCAAUGUUGGCAAAAAUCUCUUGGUUCACAUCCUUGAGAUUUGAUCUAGUUAAAAGGAUGACAUAAUAGUUCAACAAAAUACAGAACAUGGUACGGGAAAAUUCCAUAUGUCAUCCAAUACAUUGUACAUAAAAUCACUCACUUUUGAAGGAAAGAUGCCAAUUUGCUCUCAAUUUCUUCUUUGGCCUGUCUAUCAAAUGGGUCCUCACCCAUAUACAGAUCUAAAAUUGAUCGACAAAGGAGUUUGCUUUGGAUACUUCCCACCUCUUUCCCAUCAACUACAGAAAUUGAAUGGAAAUGAAAUUAGAAAAGCUUUACUUGAUGUUGCAAUAAAAAAUACAAGGAUUUAUGAUAUAACAAAAUUGUCAAUCCAUUUGCACAGAUGUACUAUCAAAAACUGAAAAUUUCCUGCAUGAAAGCAUAUAUAGUUUACUACUUAUCCUCCACAGCACUCAGAUAUUUGCUUGGUCAUGUAUACAUUGUCAUUUUAGAUCACUUCAUUUUAUCAGGGUCAAAAUGCAGUACCCUCACAAAAGUACUUUAACAAGAAUGGCUUAUGUUUUGCUCGAAAUCAUAUUAAGUGUUGAGCACGUAGAUAUUGUAGGUGUCUGAUACAUGUUUGGCAAGAAUAUAGUUGUGUUAUGGGUCAGAGUAACAAAAAAUUGAAAAGUUGCCUGAUGUUUAUUUAAGACAAUAGGUUUUCCAUAAAGAUAAUUCAAUCCAUAUGCUUUAUCUUGUGAUGGGGUUUACGAUAUAACACCAUAUGACCAUUUGACCACUUCAAGGUUCCAUCAUUCUCAUUUUUAUUCUCUACCACUGGUUCACUAUUUUUCAAAAUCCAGUAAAGAUUAUCGAUUACUAUCUUUAUGUAGGCACACUCAAAUCCUCAUUCAAAGUUCAAUUUGUUGGGUCACAUGCAGAUAUCAAAGCUUUGGCGACUCCAAUUAUGUUCUAGAAAAAUCAUCAAAACAGUCAAAGCUGAAAUUAGAUUACGUAUUUUAACAAUAUCAAAAUAAAAUUAAAUUUAGAAUCAUGGAUAAGAUAGCCAAUCAUGGGGUAAGUUAACUUGAAACUUUCUUCAGAAAACAUAACAAGAGAAAAGGAGGUCUUACUUCUUGUUCGAAGCACAUGGCCUUGAUCCUUUGAGAGCUCUAUCACAGAACCCCUCGGUAUUUUAUAUUCAUCCUUAAAUUGAGAAGUGAACCUCUGAAGCAAUUCCUUGUUAUCUGGCCCCCCGAACUUUUGCAGUCUGCUUCCAACAGAUUCUUCAAAAGCACUUCGAACAGAGCGAAUGCUUAGUUUACCAUAGACUAUCUGAAGUCGAACGGUCAUGCCAAUAUCACCUCCCAUGAGAUCCCCUUUGAACUCUUUGUUUUCCUUAAGUUCAGAAAUUGAUAGCUUUCCAUAUUUCUCACCCAGGACUUUUUUCACUUCAUUAUCAUCAGCAUAAACACCAAAUGCAUAGACAUCAAUGUUCUUCAAUCCCAAAAUACUCUUUCUCCUCAACCCCAUUCCCAAAAGUCUCCGCGAUUGAGAAGCAACAGAGGGAAAUGAUACACCGGUCUUCGAUUCCACAACAGUAAGUGAAGUGUCAGCCAGAGAGAGUGAUCCCCAGGGGAGUGAAGAAUGAUUGGGUAGGAGCAAAUCCAUCGCGUUUUGGAGAAAUGAGUGUUUCGGGUUAGUGGUUUUCUGAGCGACAGCUAUGCCGGAAAACGCAGCGGCUCCGGCGGCAAAGGCGCAAGCCACGACGGUAGUGGCGGAGAAAGAGCGGGAUGUGGUGGCAUGGGAAAUAUCGUUGGGGCGUUUGGGCUGAGAAAACAAGAAUGGGAAACGAAGUGAAACCAUGAUUGAUUUUUCG
Molecule: unclassified non-coding RNA, 2052 nt
Filed under: Hevea brasiliensis (rubber tree)
Lineage: Eukaryota; Viridiplantae; Streptophyta; Magnoliopsida; Malpighiales; Euphorbiaceae
Source: RNAcentral